Molecule: long non-coding RNA, 1037 nt
Filed under: Oryctolagus cuniculus (rabbit)
Lineage: Eukaryota; Metazoa; Chordata; Mammalia; Lagomorpha; Leporidae
Description: lncRNA (ENSOCUG00000030775.1)
Source: RNAcentral
GUCUGUUGAAGAGGCUCAGCUGGGGAAUGAAAGAUAAGGACAAAGAACAUUUGGACUCAGCGAAAGCUUAUUGAGGCUGUGCUGCACUUUUUUGAAGAACAAAAUACUGUGAAUGAAUCCAUAGAAGAGGAAGUAUGAACAAGGAUGAAGGAAAAUAUUCCUAGCAUAAUGAAUGAAGGAUCAAAGGGAAAUAUGGCAUAGAUUCGUCUGACCCCUCUGACAGCUUCCAUUCAGCAGAAAUGAGAGAAGAAAGCUAGACACAGCUGUGAAGCCAGAAGUCUGAAGAGCAGCAUCCAGGCAAUGAUGUCGGACAGCUCUCGGCAGCUGCUCACGACCCCAUCCGGCGGGGUAGCAGCGUUUGUAUUAGGGCCUCCAGCGUGGAAGCACCAUCAGCAAUUCUGCUCUCAGAACGCUGAAGAGUUUCUGAGUUUGGAAGGAACAAAGCAAAUGACUUGUGAGAGCACAACACCCAAAUCUUUGAUGGUUUUUCCCUUGCCAGUUGCCAUACAAGGAAUUAUACAGCUCAAUAAAAUGAAGCACUCAGCGCUGUGUGGUUCAUACAAGUGGUUGGAAGGAUUCUGAGUACUGGCUUGAAUUCUUUGGAUCUAUUUCAAGUGCAGCAGAUGACUAAUCACCCCCUUCUGCUAGUUGAUAAUGGGUUGUCUAUAAAACCUUGUUUUUGUAUGGUUACCUUAUUGUGAAGUUCAUGUCUUUUGAGGAACAUUCACAACUGAAAAGCAAGGAAAAUAUCCACUCCAGGGUGUAGUAAAGCUGACAAGGGGAAAAAGAAAAAACACUAAAUGACUUGGCUCUGUUGUUUUUUAGUUUCCUGAGAGAAAGUGGCCUUGACCUCCAUGCAUUACUGCUUUUGAGAUUGUAACAGCAGAUGGUACAAAGUGACAGUUGGUGAAGACAACUGAAGGUGUUUAUAACAUUGCAGGGUUGUGCAGGUGACUUUAAAAACAAAGGAUUUGGAAGUUAUAAAAAGUGGAGACUGGCAGGAGAGAUGGUAAUAAAGCCACUAGCUACUGGAGGCA